CGAGCGGUAUGGAUAGCUUGCUAUCCAGAGAGCGGCGUACGGGUGCGUAACACGUGUGCAACCUGCCUUUAUCUGGGGGAUAGCCUUUCGAAAGGAAGAUUAAUACCCCAUAAUAUGGUGUCCGGCAUCGGUCGCCAUUGAAAGCCUCGGCGGAUAGAGAUGGGCACGCGCAAGAUUAGAUAGUUGGCGGGGUAACGGCCCACCAAGUCGAUGAUCUUUAGGGGUCCUGAGAGGGAGAUCCCCCACACUGGUACUGAGACACGGACCAGACUCCUACGGGAGGCAGCAGUGAGGAAUAUUGGACAAUGGGUGGAAGCCUGAUCCAGCCAUCCCGCGUGAAGGAUGACGGUUCUAUGGAUUGUAAACUUCUUUUGUACAGGGAUAAACCUGCCCUCGUGAGGGCAGCUGAAGGUACUGUACGAAUAAGCACCGGCUAACUCCGUGCCAGCAGCCGCGGUAAUACGGAGGGUGCGAGCGUUAUCCGGAUUUAUUGGGUUUAAAGGGUCCGUAGGCGGGCCUGUAAGUCAGUGGUGAAAUCUCAUAGCUUAACUAUGAAACUGCCAUUGAUACUGCAGGCCUUGAGUAAAUUUGAAGUGGCUGGAAUAAGUAGUGUAGCGGUGAAAUGCAUAGAUAUUACUUAGAACACCGAUUGCGAAGGCAGGUCACUAAGAUUUAACUGACGCUGAUGGACGAAAGCGUGGGGAGCGAACAGGAUUAGAUACCCUGGUAGUCCACGCCGUAAACGAUGCUAACUCGUUUUUGGAUCUUCGGGUUCAGAGACCAAGCGAAAGUGAUAAGUUAGCCACCUGGGGAGUACGUCCGCAAGGAUGAAACUCAAAGGAAUUGACGGGGGCCCGCACAAGCGGUGGAUUAUGUGGUUUAAUUCGAUGAUACGCGAGGAACCUUACCAAGACUUAAAUGGGAAUUGACAGAUUUAGAAAUAGAUCCUCCUUCGGGCAAUUUUCAAGGUGCUGCAUGGUUGUCGUCAGCUCGUGCCGUGAGGUGUUAGGUUAAGUCCUGCAACGAGCGCAACCCCUGCCAACAGUUGCCAUCAUUCAGUUGGGGACUCUGUUGGGACUGCCUACGCAAGUAGAGAGGAAGGUGGGGAUGACGUCAAAUCAUCACGGCCCUUACGUCUUGGGCCACACACGUAAUACAAUGGCCGGUACAGAGGGCAGCUACCUGGUGACAGGAUGCGAAUCUCGAAAGCCGGUCUCAGUUCGGAUUGGAGUCUGCAACUCGACUCUAUGAAGCUGGAAUCGCUAGUAAUCGCGCAUCAGCCAUGGCGCGGUGAAUACGUUCCCGGGCCUUGUACACACCGCCCGUCAAGCCAUGGAAGUCUGGGGUACC
RNAcentral lists this ribosomal RNA (1350 nucleotides) under uncultured bacterium. Its description in RNAcentral is "16S ribosomal RNA". It matches the Rfam family "Bacterial small subunit ribosomal RNA", at positions 63 to 1421 of the family's 1533-position model. The record is from RNAcentral.